This 345-nucleotide unclassified non-coding RNA is filed under the name soil metagenome. RNAcentral's name for it is "partial contains 5.8S ribosomal RNA, internal transcribed spacer 2, and large subunit ribosomal RNA". The stretch from base 1 to 119 matches the Rfam family "5.8S ribosomal RNA", at positions 35 to 154 of the family's 154-position model. The record is from RNAcentral.
GAUGAAGAACGCAGCGAAAUGCGAUACGUAAUGUGAAUUGCAAAUUCAGUGAAUCAUCGAGUCUUUGAACGCACAUUGCGCUCCCUGGUAUUCCGGGGGGCAUGCCUGUCCGAGCGUCAUUGCUGCCCUCAAGCACGGCUUGUGUGUUGGGCCCCGUCCUCCGAUCCCGGGGGACGGGCCCGAAAGGCAGCGGCGGCACCGCGUCCGGUCCUCGAGCGUAUGGGGCUUUGUCACCCGCUCUGUAGGCCCGGACGGCGCUUGCCGAUCAACCCAAAUUUUUAUCCAGGUUGACCUCGGAUCAGGUAGGGAUACCCGCUGAACUUAAGCAUAUCAAUAAGCGGAGGA